CACCAUUGCUAGUGCGGGCCGACUAUUUACUUGAGCUUCCACAUACAUUAAUCCUCGUUCAUUAUUGGAAGUCGGAACGACCUUAGCAUUGAGAGCGUUAAGAAGUUGCAAUGAACUAAAAUGUUCCGUCCUUUGAUCUUGGCAAGAGGAUGAAUCCCGUUCCUCCGCCAUAGCCGCCAAUGUGCCAAGUUUAGGGCAAUCACGCAUUAAAUGUGGCCCCUUGCACACGAAGCAUCCACUUUGAGAACCCGUCGAGGCCUUCUUCUUUUCCUCAUAAUUUUUUCG
Molecule: long non-coding RNA, 285 nt
Filed under: Olea europaea (common olive)
Lineage: Eukaryota; Viridiplantae; Streptophyta; Magnoliopsida; Lamiales; Oleaceae
Description: long non-coding RNA (OEUR_LNC014944)
Source: RNAcentral